Molecule: non-coding RNA, 72 nt
Organism: Phrynosoma platyrhinos (Desert horned lizard)
Lineage: Eukaryota; Metazoa; Chordata; Lepidosauria; Squamata; Phrynosomatidae
Source: the annotation of a GenBank genome assembly
GAUAGUGUGGUGUAGUGGUUUGAGCAUUGGACUAAGAAUCUGAAGACCAGGGUUCAGUUCCUUGCUCAGCCA